AGCGCGCGCGACGGGGCUGAUGCCAGCGGGACAGCGGGGAGCGGCGCGGCGGAGCCCGGCGGGUCCGGAGCUGACAGCCCCAACAAAACUUGUUCUGGGAGCGCCGGCAGCCCCGCGCCGCCUCACAGGCUCAAGCCCAAACUUCGAGUCUGUGCAGGAGGCGGAACCAGAGCCGCGGGGAGCCACGCCAACUCCGACCUGGGCGACAGGCUGGUGGCUUCAGUCCGCAGCCUGUCCGAGAGGAGCCUGCGGGGGGGCUCCGCCGCCAGAGGCCACAUGAAGCCGCUCGGCUUGAAGGAGAUCCUGGGCUACCUGAGCAGCCAGGAGCGCCUGUCGGAGGAGAAACUGACCCGAGGCAAAGUCAAAGUGGUCAUGGAGCGAGAAGUGGCGAGGGGCAGGCUGCGCAGGACGCGCUGCGGGAACAUUACUCUUCCUCUGAGGGGGAUGGUGCUGGAGGAGCCGCUGCCCAAGAAUGCGACCGCUGACAGACUUGCGAAGAGCGCACUGCAGGACAGACACACGGCCAAAAAGCCGCCGUCGCCCUCUCGCAGAGAGAAUGAGCCAAUGGAAACAGAGGAGCGGGGAGAGAAUGAAGAAGAAGAAGAGGAGGAGGAGGAGGAGGAGGAGGAGGAUGAUCCCCGGAGUUCUGAUGAGGAGGGAGGACUAUCCCUGGUAGCCAUGACAACCGAACCAGGGCUCAUUGAGAAAUCCAGAGAAGAUGCUGAGAUCCAGACAGCAUCAAAGCAGGAGAGUCCCCAGCAGCAGCAGCAGCAGGGUGGCAAAGAGACUUCCACGCCCGAUUUCCACCCUAAGACCGAGCCUCCACCUGCUCCGGGAGCGCCGCUCUCACAGUGUAAUGGCACACUGGAGGACAGAGCUUUUUCCCCUGAGCAGCUACAUAUGGAGACGCAAAAUGGGACCCAGCCAGAUGGCAUAAAUCACUCAUCGUCGGGCUUUAACAGUGAGUCCCGCUCUUUGCGAUGCUCUCUGAAUUUACGACAUUGUGGUGUUUGGAGUCACAGCUGGCUGUGA
RNAcentral lists this long non-coding RNA (1032 nucleotides) under Salarias fasciatus (jewelled blenny). RNAcentral describes it as "lncRNA (ENSSFAG00005018283.1)". Lineage: Eukaryota; Metazoa; Chordata; Actinopteri; Blenniiformes; Blenniidae. The record is from RNAcentral.